RNAcentral lists this transfer RNA (62 nucleotides) under Raivuna sinica. Its description in RNAcentral is "tRNA-His". Lineage: Eukaryota; Metazoa; Arthropoda; Insecta; Hemiptera; Dictyopharidae. The record is from RNAcentral.
GUUUAUUUAGUUUAAUUUAAAAUUUUGAUUUGUGAAGUCAAAGAUCUUUUAGGGGAUAAGCU